RNAcentral lists this transfer RNA (83 nucleotides) under Sporothrix brasiliensis 5110. Its description in RNAcentral is "tRNA-Trp". It matches the Rfam family "tRNA". Rfam says of the family: Transfer RNA (tRNA) molecules are approximately 80 nucleotides in length. Their secondary structure includes four short double-helical elements and three loops (D, anti-codon, and T loops). Lineage: Eukaryota; Fungi; Ascomycota; Sordariomycetes; Ophiostomatales; Ophiostomataceae. The record is from RNAcentral.
GGACCAGUGGCGCAAUGGUAACGCGUCGGAUUCCAGUAAAUGGUGCUUCCCGAAGAUUGUCCGUUCAAUUCGGGCCUGGUUCA